RNAcentral lists this ribosomal RNA (567 nucleotides) under Trifolium schimperi. Its description in RNAcentral is "eukaryotic LSU rRNA". The stretch from base 115 to 271 matches the Rfam family "5.8S ribosomal RNA". Lineage: Eukaryota; Viridiplantae; Streptophyta; Magnoliopsida; Fabales; Fabaceae. The record is from RNAcentral.
AACACAAACCCCGGCGCUGAAUGCGUCAAGGAAUUUUAAAUUUGCCUUGAGCGCACCUGCAUGGCACCGGAGACGGUUUUCGUGUGGGUUGUGCUCUGACACAUAAUAUAGAAUGACUCUCGGCAACGGAUAUCUAGGCUCUUGCAUCGAUGAAGAACGUAGCGAAAUGCGAUACUUGGUGUGAAUUGCAGAAUCCCGUGAACCAUCGAGUCUUUGAACGCAAGUUGCGCCCGAUGCCAUUAAGGUUGAGGGCACGUCUGCCUGGGCGUCACAUAUCGAAGUCUCUUGACAAUUUCCUUUUGAUAGGUGUUGUGCAGGGGGAAUGUUGGCCUCCCGUGAGCUUCAUCGUCUCAUGGUUGGUUGAAAAUCGAGACCUUGGUAGGGUGUGCCAUGAUAGAUGGUGGCUGUGUUACGCACGAUACCAAGUCAUGUGCUGCUCUAUUGAAUUUAGCCUCUUUUACCCACAUGCGUUUCUAAACGCUCGUGAUGAGACCUCAGGUCAGGCGGGGCUACCCGCUGAAUUUAAGCAUAUCAAUAAGCGGAGGAAAAGAAACUAACAAGGAUUCC